CACUCCUGCGGGAGGCAGCAGUGGGGAAUUUUGGACAAUGGGCGAAAGCCUGAUCCAGCAAUGCCGCGUGAGUGAAGAAGGCCUUCGGGUUGUAAAGCUCUUUUGUCAGGGAAGAAACGGUGAAAGCUAAUAUCUUUUGCUAAUGACGGUACCUGAAGAAUAAGCACCGGCUAACUACGUGCCAGCAGCCGCGGUAAUACGUAGGGUGCAAGCGUUAAUCGGAAUUACUGGGCGUAAAGCGUGCGCAGGCGGUUUUGUAAGUCUGAUGUGAAAUCCCCGGGCUCAACCUGGGAAUUGCAUUGGAGACUGAAAGGCUAGAAUCUGGCAGAGGGGGGUAGAAUUCCACGUGUAGCAGUGAAAUGCGUAGAUAUGUGGAGGAACACCGAUGGCGAAGGCAGCCCCCUGGGUCAAGAUUGACGCUCAUGCACGAAAGCGUGGGGAGCAAACAGGAUUAGAAACCCCAGUAGUCCCA
This 472-nucleotide ribosomal RNA is filed under the name uncultured organism. RNAcentral describes it as "partial 16S ribosomal RNA". It matches the Rfam family "Bacterial small subunit ribosomal RNA", at positions 334 to 797 of the family's 1533-position model. The record is from RNAcentral.